This 406-nucleotide ribosomal RNA is filed under the name uncultured bacterium. Its description in RNAcentral is "partial 16S ribosomal RNA". It matches the Rfam family "Bacterial small subunit ribosomal RNA", at positions 29 to 526 of the family's 1533-position model. The record is from RNAcentral.
AUUGAACGCUGGCGGCAGGCCUAACACAUGCAAGUCGAGCGAGCGGCGGACGGGUGAGUAAUGUCUGGGAAACUGCCUGAUGGAGGGGGAUAACUACUGGAAACGGUAGCUAAUACCGCAUACCAUCAGAUGUGCCCAGAUGGGAUUAGCUAGUAGGUGGGGUGACGGCUCACCUAGGCGACGAUCCCUAGCUGGUCUGAGAGGAUGACCAGCCAAACUGGAACUGAGACACGGGCCAGACUCCUACGGGAGGCAGCAGGGGGGAAGAUUGCACAAGGGGCGCAAGCCUGAGGCAGCCAUGCCGCGUGUGUGAAGAAGGCCUGCGGGUUGUAAAGCACUUUCAGCGGGGAGGCGUUACCCGCAGAAGAAGCACCGGCUAACUCAGUGCCAGCCGCCGCGGUAAUUC